GGUCAUAUGAUGCGGGCUGGAACCCUCCAGCCGGGCACUGCUUCACGGCGUGCGCGGCUGGAGCCGGCCCUGCUGAAUUAUUCACCCGUGUCUUUUGCGUACUUCUUGUUUCCUGGGUGGGCUCGCCCGCCAUCAGGACCAACCAUAAACCUUUUUGUAAUAGCAAUCAGCGUCAGUAACAACGUAAUUAAUUACAACUUUCAACAACGGAUCUCUUGGUUCUGGCAUCGAUGAAGAACGCAGCGAAAUGCGAUACGUAGUGUGAAUUGCAGAAUUCAGUGAAUCAUCGAAUCUUUGAACGCACAUUGCGCCCUUUGGUAUUCCAAAGGGCAUGCCUGUUCGAGCGUCAUUUGUACCCUCAAGCUUUGCUUGGUGUUGGGCGUCUUUUGUCUCCAGCUCGCUGGAGACUCGCCUUAAAGUCAUUGGCAGCCGGCCUACUGGUUUCGGAGCGCAGCACAAGUCGCGCUCUUGCCCAGCCAAGGUCAGCGUCCAGCAAGCCUUUUUUCAACCUUUGACCUCGGAUCAGGUAGGGAUACCCGCUGAACUUAAGCAUAUCAUAACCC
Molecule: ribosomal RNA, 563 nt
Filed under: fungal sp.
Lineage: Eukaryota; Fungi
Description: eukaryotic LSU rRNA
Rfam family: 5.8S ribosomal RNA (bases 196-349)
Source: RNAcentral